GCAAAGCCUGUGAGCGGGACGAGUAGCCAGGUCCCUCCUGUUGCAGAGAGCCCGGGGAAGCUGGAAACCGGGUACAGGAAGCCAUGGCGAAAAUCACCCGGGAGGUGCCGGCUGAACGGCGGGGUUAUCCCCGUUCAGUAGGCCCGGACGGCUGGCCACCGUUACCGGCAAAACGAGGGGACAGGUUAGUGAACGUUAACCUGUCUAUAAGGGUGGUACCGCGGGAAGAUCCCGUCCCUUGG
This 242-nucleotide non-coding RNA is filed under the name Desulfofundulus kuznetsovii. Its description in RNAcentral is "Desulfotomaculum kuznetsovii T-box sequence". It matches the Rfam family "T-box leader". From Rfam's summary of the family: Uncharged tRNA acts as the effector for transcription antitermination of genes in the T-box leader family. T-boxes are found upstream of many aminoacyl-tRNA synthetase genes and some amino acid biosynthetic genes usually in Gram-positive bacteria. The anticodon of a specific tRNA base pairs to a specifier sequence within the T-box motif, and the NCCA acceptor tail of the tRNA base pairs to a conserved bulge in the T-box antiterminator hairpin. The record is from RNAcentral. Lineage: Bacteria; Bacillati; Bacillota; Clostridia; Eubacteriales; Peptococcaceae.